RNAcentral lists this transfer RNA (74 nucleotides) under Pseudokineococcus marinus. Its description in RNAcentral is "tRNA-Arg". It matches the Rfam family "tRNA". From Rfam's summary of the family: Transfer RNA (tRNA) molecules are approximately 80 nucleotides in length. The record is from RNAcentral. Lineage: Bacteria; Bacillati; Actinomycetota; Actinomycetes; Kineosporiales; Kineosporiaceae. RNAcentral also lists the same sequence under 4 other names.
GCGCCCGUAGCUCAACGGAUAGAGCAUCUGACUACGGAUCAGAAGGUUGGGGGUUCGAGUCCCUCCGGGCGCGC